AUUGAACGCUGGCGGCAUGCUUUACACAUGCAAGUCGAACGGUAACAGGCCGCAAGGUGCUGACGAGUGGCGAACGGGUGAGUAAUGCAUCGGAACGUGCCCAGUCGUUGGGGAUAACUACUCGAAAGAGUAGCUAAUACCGCAUACGAUCUAUGGAUGAAAGCGGGGGACCGUAAUGCCUCGCGCGAUUGGAGCGGUCGAUUUCAGAUUAGGUAGUUGGUGGGGUAAAGGCUCACCAAGCCAACGAUCUGUAGCUGGUCUGAGAGGACGACCAGCCACACUGGGACUGAGACACGGCCCAGACUCCUACGGGAGGCAGCAGUGGGGAAUUUUGGACAAUGGGCGCAAGCCUGAUCCAGCAAUGCCGCGUGCAGGAAGAAGGCCUUCGGGUUGUAAACUGCUUUUGUACGGAACGAAACGGCUCUGGUUAAUACCCGGGGCUAAUGACGGUACCGUAAGAAUAAGCACCGGCUAACUACGUG
Molecule: ribosomal RNA, 482 nt
Filed under: uncultured bacterium
Lineage: Bacteria
Description: partial 16S ribosomal RNA
Rfam family: Bacterial small subunit ribosomal RNA
Source: RNAcentral